UACGAAGGGUGCAAGCGUUACUCGGAAUUACUGGGCGUAAAGCGUGCGUAGGUGGUGAGUUAAGUCUGUCGUGAAAGCCCCGGGCUCAACCUGGGAAUGGCGAUGGAUACUGGCUCGCUAGAGUGCGGUAGAGGAGAGUGGAAUUCCCGGUGUAGCAGUGAAAUGCGUAGAGAUCGGGAGGAACAUCAGUUGCGAAGGCGGCUCACUGGACCGGUUCUGACGCUGAGGCGCGAAAGCGUGGGGAGCAAACGGG
This 253-nucleotide ribosomal RNA is filed under the name uncultured bacterium. Its description in RNAcentral is "partial 16S ribosomal RNA". It matches the Rfam family "Bacterial small subunit ribosomal RNA", at positions 524 to 776 of the family's 1533-position model. The record is from RNAcentral.